Molecule: long non-coding RNA, 233 nt
Organism: Coffea eugenioides
Lineage: Eukaryota; Viridiplantae; Streptophyta; Magnoliopsida; Gentianales; Rubiaceae
Exons: 4
Source: RefSeq, a predicted model, not a curated record
GUGGUGCAGAAGAAAUCAGAGUAUCAAGAGUCUCCUCCGGUCUCAAGAUCCUUAAGGUUUUGUCUGGCCAUGACAAGUUUCAUGAGAUCUAUGUUCUCGACAGAGAGGACCAACUGGUUAUUCAAUAGCGAAAGAUUGCAUAGGGUUCAUAUAGAGUGGUUAAUUUUUGAGGUUAUAAUGAUAGCUGGAGCAUCUAGAUAUCUCGAGCCUUUUCAAUUUCAACAUUAUAUUAA